AAAACAAAAAAUAAAACAAA
This 20-nucleotide microRNA is filed under the name Corchorus capsularis. RNAcentral's name for it is "sRNA CCACVL1_19897". The record is from RNAcentral. Lineage: Eukaryota; Viridiplantae; Streptophyta; Magnoliopsida; Malvales; Malvaceae.